Molecule: long non-coding RNA, 3937 nt
Filed under: Sus scrofa (pig)
Lineage: Eukaryota; Metazoa; Chordata; Mammalia; Artiodactyla; Suidae
Description: lncRNA (ENSSSCG00015074935.1)
Source: RNAcentral
GCAGACCUUCUGACCGGCCCUGUGCCCAUGAAAUUCACUAAAUUGCUUUGGAAAGGACCACUUUAACCAAGCAUCCUGGAUUAUGAGGAGCAGCGAUUAUGAUGGACUGCACACGGGGACCUUGACAAGUGUCCUUGCUUCACAGAGGACUCAGAGACACACGCAAGUUCACAACGUGAGGUUUCUGAUGAUUCCGUUUUAUCUUAAGAUCUCUGCAACUCAUUAAGGAUUUGCUUUGAUUUAGGCAGAAAAUAAUGAACCUGUUAAAGAAAAUUAUUUUCAAUUAGAAAGAAAACAUGUAAUUCGUGGGGAUGGGGUGAGAACACUAAUUAUACUUUUAAUUGUGUCUAUUGCCCUUUGGGGUAAACUCUAAGGAAUUGGGUAAAGAAAGAGAAACUGAAUUUUUCUUUAAGUGGUUUUCCAUUGUUCCAGGCAAUUCUCCAAAGAACAGUCACCUCCAUGGUAACCCAUGUUCAGUUUUAAUUGCUUUACAAGCAGAAGCUAGGCUUUUUUGUUUUUUAAACAAGCGGUUUUGGUGUUUCUUUAAUUGUAUGUGCUUAUAAUUCUUUUAUUCUUUAAACAUUGGCUGAGGUUUACCUGGAAACUUAUAGACCUUGAUGCUUAUGCAUCAGUAUAUCUGAUUGGUAAAAAUGUUAGUGAAGAAAUAUGAGAUAAUGACGGAGAACAUGGGUUCUGGAGUUUCCAUUCUUGAGGUUCACAGACGACUUUACCUUUUACUCGCUGUGUGAUCUUUGGCAAGUUACUUAGCCUCUCUGUGCUUUAGUUUCUUGUCUAUGAAAUGGGCAUAACACAGCACCCCCAUCAUAGUUGUUAGAAGGGUUCAAUGACUGUUAGUCAGGAUGGGCUAAGUUAUGCUGCAGUAACAAAUCCCAAAUCUCAGAAGGUUGAUGCAAUCAACAUUUAUUUCUCACUCAUGCAAAGUCCUCCAAAGAUCUGGAUGAUUCCCAUUGUGGCUGGCUCAACACAUUCCAGGCUGCUUCAAUUUUACAGCUCCCUCAUAGCAUCCGGCUUCCAUGCUUGGUACAGCAGAGAAGACAGAUGAUAGGGAAUUAUGUCCUGGCUCUCAAAGGCUUCGACAGGCAGUGACACAAAUCACUUCUGCUUGUAUUUCAUGGGGGAAAGCAAACUGCCUGGCGAUGCAUAAAUUCAAGGUGGCAGAAAGGGCCCGGAAGCAGAGAAACCAGGAAUAUGGAUGGGCAGCAGGAUGUCCACCAGCAUAUGCAUAGUGCCUGUUAGAAAGAAGCAUGAAAUAAAUGUAAGCUAUCGUUGCUGAAGGCUGGCACUGCCAAAAUGUAAUUUUUUUUUUUGUCUUUUUAUGGCCACGCCCGUGGCAUAUGGAGGUUCCCAAGCUAAGGGUUGAAUCAGAGCUAUAUCUGCUGGCCUAUUCCAUAGCCACAGCAAUGCGGGAUCCGAGGUGUGUCUGCGACCUAUACCACAGCUCUUGGCAAUGCCGGAUCCUUAACCCACUGAACAAGGCCAGGGAUCGAACCUUGGUCCUCAUGGAUGCCAGUCAGAUUUGUUUCCACUGAGCCAUGAUGGGAACUCCUAAUUUUAAUUUUAAUUGAGGCUGUUUUUUUCUUUCGAGAUUUGGCCUAAAGAAUAACUUCCGCAUGUUCAGAAGCCCAAACAUGGGUUUGCUUUAGUGUUCUGGCACUUAGUAGAUGGCACACAUUUGAAGGGUAAUAUUAGUAGUGUUUGAGAACAUGGGCUUAGAGUCAGGUGGACUUCAUCUGAAUCUCAGGACCAACACCUAUUGAAGGAGUGUGAUGUUGAUGAGAUGAUUGAUUUAACCUUUCCUGGACUCCGUGACCUCUGGGGUCAUCUUUGUAAUUUUGUUCUUCAUUUUCCAUUAUGUCCUUUUCUAAUAGCCAUAUUUUUCAUUAUUUUAUCUUUUAUGGCAACAUUGCCUCACAGCCAAUUAGUGAUGCAGCGGCAUUGUUUUAUACCGCUUUGUUAGUGGCAAAGAUAUUUAGGGGAAAGUGGCUUAUAGAGAUAAUACGGGAUAAGGAUUAACAAUUUCCUGAACCCUCAGCUUGCUCAUCUGCAAAAUGGGAAUAAAAAAUUAACUUUCUAGAGCUUUUCCCAUCACAUACGUGGACACUUAAAACACAGAGUAAACACCAAAACAUAUCUUUUUUUGCCCUCUUCUUUCCCCCUGCUUCAUAAUUAUGCCAGAUUGUAGGAGUUCUCACUGUGGCUCAGGGGUAAUGAAACAGACUAGUAUCCAUGAGAAUGCAGGGAUCGAAUCUGCAUCCUCAUGGAUAGUAGUCAGAUUCGAUUCUGCUGAGCCACGACGGGAACUUCUCUUUGGGAUGUGUUCACUUCUUUCUUGCUUCCCCAGUUUGCUAAGGGCUACAUGAACUGAUAUAAGUAUCCACCAGCGUGGGUGCCUAGCAGCUGCUCAGUAAAUGCUGGUUUCCAUCACCCUCCCCUGUCCUACCAUGUCCUCUUAACACGGUGCUGUUCCCAUGAUGGGAUGGAAUUGCAGACAUCAAGGAGGGAGCUGUCUCACAACCUUGGGUGGGUCCAGCUCAACACUGCACACAUCUCAACAGACAACUGCCUGUUCCACCUGCUGCAGUGAAUUGACCCACCACAAAAGAAAAGGUUAGACCUCCCUCACAAACAAGUAGCAUUCAUGGAAUUAGACUGCCUCUGAAGGAAUACUGGCAGCCAGCAACUCGCUCACACUGAGACUGACCAGGAGUUGGCUGAGGUGCCUGCAGGUACCCGUGGAAGCUGAUGAAGCCUGAGUGAGGAGGAUGCGUCGUGCAAACACACCACCCAUCCCUGAUGACAUGGCUGCCACCAGCAGCUUUCCAUACUCGGUCUUCUAGAAGGCUCCUGAGAACAUGCCACCUCCUCUCUGAAGCCCUCUCCUCCUCUUCCCAGCCAGCUGGCCACUCCUUGCUUUGUGCCCCACUCGAACCCCCUGGCAGUAUCUUUAGUGAGCCUUUGAGGGGAGACCUGGAUCUCAUUCAUCUUGGCACUCGAGACACCAGCACACAGUAGGCAGUUAACAGCUGAUGACUGAAUGAAUAACCACAGGAGGAAAUCAAGGACCUUGAGAACUAUUUUCCAGAGAAAACAUCUUACAGAAGCUCUUUGGAUAUAAUGAGUCUCCUAGGAAGAGAAGAGUGAAUAUUUUCCUUCUCCUCUAAUGUCUUUUUUUAAGAAAAGAAUGAAGAGGAAAGGGAAAAAGGAAAACCUUACCACCAGGAAACUCUGCAGGGUACCAUUGGAAGCUGUGGAAAAGGCUUGGUGAUUGAUUAGUCAUGCCUGCUGGGGAGAGGGCAGGGAGAGGAGGGCAGCCCUUCUGCCUGACAGCUGCCGUCUCUCUUAAACCUUUAACUAGCAACCAAAUGAGUGCAAAUGCAGCUUAACCAGUGAAGUAUGGCCUUUUCUUCAACCUUUAAUUGGUAUAUUUAGCAAAUAUGUUUUACUAUUAAAAUGAAAAUGGGGUGGAAAAUAGACUUCAUUUUAUAAUCCAUAUUGAGGACAUAUUGGUAUCCUAUCAACAGAAAAGAUUCUUCUAAUGAAUGAAAAGGAACGCAACCCCCAUAUGACUGAUGACUGAUUAUUCCUUCUGGCUAGAAAAGGAUGAUGAUAGUCCUGCAGAGGAGGGGUGUUGCUUGUAUAGCAAAGGCCUCCUGUAGGGGUGAGUCUGUGUCCCGGGUAAUCCUUAGACUUAAAAUCAGAACAUCCAUGUUUUCCUCCCAACUUUCUUUUAAUUGGAAAAUUUCAGGACUCCCCUGGUGGCUCAGCAGGUUAAGGAUCCAGCAUUGUUACUGUUGUGGCUCUGGCUACUCCUGUGGUUUGGGUAUGAUCCCUGGCUGGCAAACUUCCACCUGGUGCAGGUGUGGCAAAAAAAAACAAACAAAAAAAUCCAAAAAAAAAAAACAAAAAAAAAAAAAAA